Molecule: long non-coding RNA, 8663 nt
Organism: Numida meleagris (helmeted guineafowl)
Lineage: Eukaryota; Metazoa; Chordata; Aves; Galliformes; Numididae
Exons: 3
Source: RefSeq, a predicted model, not a curated record
CACUAUAAUUGUUGGUAAAUUGCAUUCAGCAUAGAAUUAUAGACAUUUAAACACCAUCUGAAAGGAAAGUAUGUUCCCAAGGGAUUCAUCUGACAUCAUAACCUAUGGAAGAGAAGGCUUAGCAAGUUAUGAAUGUCAGAAGAACAAAAAGAUCCCAACUUCUGAGUAUGAUUAGUCACAUACCACUAAUAGUUUAACAGUUGCACUGUACUGCUAUCAAUUUCUUAUUGCUUGCCUCAAAUUAAUUUGAUGGCUACUCAUUUGUCAUUAAUUGCACAGCGAGCCUCGGAGGGACUUGAGAGCAUGGAGGUCAGUUCACAGAGUGGACCCAGCACUUUGCAGCACUGUGAUUAAAAGUGAAGGACAUCUAUCACUCUGCAGAUUGCUCUGCCACACACCGUUGUGAUUUAUAAAGACCCAUCACCACAUCCAAGUGCCAGUCUUGUUCAAGGAGCAAGCAUCGUUCAGUGGUGCUACACCACUUACUGAAGCCUUGGAUUCCACACUAGAUUUGAAGGACCCAGGCUAUAAGAAAGAAACGGCAAGAGAUUUCAAGUCUACAAAUACGAUGGCAGAAGUGGAAUAUUUGUGUAUUACUCUGGCACAUUCAUUAAAAAUAUAUUUUAACCCCAAAGGAUUAUUUUUUAAUUACACCAAAGUAAAUUGCAAUUACGUUAAGGAGAAGAAAAGGUUGGACAAGACAUACAUUUUGUCAGGAUCUGAAUCUAGCAGAGCCAAACUUUUGCACAUAAAGAUCAUAUAAGCAAGUUUAAAUUGAGAAGUGCUCCUCAGGUGUGCAGUGCUGCCCAGCCCAGUGGCAGGUAGGUGAGCUCUCUCCAGGAUCUCCCUCCAUCAGACCUCUGCUUGUUUCUUUUGCACCCCAGAGCAUAAGACCUGCACAGCAGCCAUUGCGCUGCACCUCCCAAGAAGGAAGGAAGGAUCCUUCCCAGAGGUUCUCUACUGCAAUAUGGAAAGGGAUAGAAUUCUUUUGUAUGUGAGCUGCUGUUUCCCCUCCCUGGUGUACUUUGAGCCCAGGUCGUGUACUGGGGCUAGUUUGUGUUUUACGGUAUUUCAACCUAACAUUUUUCAAUAUUAUUUUAAUAUUCUCUCCCUUCCUACUGUGAGGUUUGUAGAUCUAUUCAUCUGAACCAGGUUUCAUGGCAAAAUGUAAGCUUGGCAAAGAUAGCAAGGGGCAAUUGGAAUUUCAAAAAAAGUAGGGAAGAUUUUUUGCUGAUCCUCAAAAAUGCGGCCUGUCAGCUUACUGUUUUAAAGGAGGAAUUUUCCACUGGUAAAGUGACCUAAAAACACAGGGCUUGAUUCUGCUGGUGCUCCGCCUCACCCUUUCCUAAGUCUGUCAGACUCAUCUCUAAACUUCCUUAACCUCAGGUUCGGUUUGAAUAUUGGUCUAUACUUCCUUUCUUUAUUCUGUUAUUUCUGUGUUUACAAUCAAACACGCAGAAAGCACCCAGCAUAGAUUCUUCAGUGGUUUCCAACACCUCUGUGGAGGAUUACCCCAAAACUUAGGUCUUGGAUUUCUUUUCACAAAUGAGAAAUUGCUAAUGCAGGAAGGGAAACCUAUUUCCUUCUCCCAAACUACUGCAAGGACAACCUCCUGCUAUAAGAGGUUUGUUUGAACUUUUUGAAAUCCAUCAUUAGUAGUAAGUUACUCACAAAAACUUGUUUUCAAGGCUUUGUGAAUGAAGAUAUUAAUGAAGAAAUAUCUUUCUCUUCCAGGAGUGUUUCAGGUCUCCUGCAAACUCAAUAACACUCCUAGCAAGUGGCUUCCCGCGACCCCUCUUACAUUUUAACUCUGAGAUCAAGUUUUCUUCCAUGUUAAAAUACCAGUGAAAACACUUACAGACAACUGCUGGCCUAUAGUGUGGUCACUGCAGUUCUCCCCAGAGCAACCCUCAUGUGAAGGCCCUUUCUUUGCCCACUAGCAGAAACAUGGAGCUGGCUCCAGUCAAACCUGGAGGGCUUGAUUUGUCCUCAGGAAGCAUGGCUGGCCUCGGGGCAUGCUGGAAAGCAUCAGGAGCACCUGUUCAAUUAACAUGGCACAGGGGAAAUAUUUUCCCCAUUGCAAUCACAGAAUAAUCUGGAUAAAUCAAAGACAUUCUAAGAAAAAGAACAAAGAAAAGUAUGCAUUACAUGCUGAGAAGAAAAGCAGCUAUUGAAAAGGCAGUAGGUGAUGUAAUGCCCUAAAGUCAUGAGGGGACAGAGGGGUGCCAGUGGGUACAUUUACAUUGGAUGUUGCUUCAUCUCUGAGGAAGCUGUUGCUCUUAAGGGAUCGGCAGCACUUCUAGUGCUUGGCAUGCUGACCUAAAUCAAACUGACUGGAGAAAUGAAUUUGCUUUAGCUUGGGUCGGGAAAAGGGACACAUUUUUUAUAUGGCAAAUCUCUUCGGGGAUCUGAAUUAUCUGCCUUUCCUUGCAGUCGUAAGAAAGAUAUGUUCAUCUUCUGAAUCUGAGCAUGGUUAGUGGCUCCUGGGGGAAGGAAAAAGAUGUUAUCCUGGUUGCCUGGCUAGUAUUUUAGGAGUCCCUGGGGCUGUUCCAUUUUUGUGUAUCCUCAAGAGAGAAACCGUCACGUGCAAGCACAAGCGAAUCAGUCAAAGACACUGCUCGGAAGGAGGUGAACAUUGUAAAUGAUCCUGUCAUCAUCACGAAUAGGUCCUAGAGCAGAUUGCACCAGGAAGAUGUAAACACUACAGCUUGCAGAAGGAAACAGCCAUGAAGCAAUCAUAGAAUACACACACGACACUAAUUCUAAAAUGGGAGUAAUAACACAGCAGGAGAAAAAGUGAAAAUUUCAGUAUUUCUUCUAAAGAAAUAUUUAAAGUAAAGGAAAAAUGAGAUUCAGAAGUAAGGAGAUUCAGAAGUGUCUGAGAAGUGUCUUUCAAUUGCGAUAAGACGAAAGAUUAUAGCUAUACCUGCAGGGGAGAUGUAAAACUUACUUAGCAAAGUAUAUUAUUCAAAAUUUGCUUUCUAGAACAGUUGUGUUUUUUAAUCUCUCCUAUUUCAAGACUUUCUGUAAAUAAAUUGAGAGCAAGUUUUGUUUAAAAACAAUGUUUCAGUGGGAUAUUAUUGUAAGGGUUUGAUUUUAGUGAUAUAGGGAAUAAUUAAAAAAUAAAAACAGAACAAUCUCUUGUUCUAAAUAGACCUAAUAAUUUCAAAAUAUGGUUUUCCUAUUCACCUCUCUGCCCCACCCUCCAGUUUUGAUAUCAGCGACAUAUUUGCAAAUAUUUUUGAGACUUCAGUGAAGUCACAUCCUCUGGUCAAAGCUAAGGUUUCCAGACUUUCCAGUUGCUCAUCUGUCCACAGCAGUAACCAGACAUACAUAGACUGCUCACUUUCAAUCUCCUCUAACUAAAAUACAAUCAAUACCUCAUCAUCCUUUCUUCUGAACAGUAGCCCACAGGUUAUUUAGCUUUAAAAUACCACUAUUGAGACUGUCACUGUUGAAGGGAAUGACAGGAUUGUCCUGCACUAAUGUGAUUCUGCUCCUAAUGCGAUGGCCUGUAGAAACAGGUUGCCUCCAUCUUUUGUGCUAUAUUCAAACUGCAUUCGAGCCUUUAUCAAUUCCUCUUUGUGAUCUGCAAUUUUUUAUUUUCUUAUUGGAACUGAAGCUAAAUACUCCCUUGAUAAUCUCUUAUUGAAAAUCUCAAACUGCUACUCAGGCACUCACCUUUAAGAACAUCUCCUAAUGUGAUCUACAAAAUAUAUCUACAGAUGAAUGUCAAUCAUUAAUUAAAUCAUUUCAAAAUUGAUAUUCACUAUUAGAGAUGGCUUCCUUUAUUCUGUUUCUGAAAGUUUUCUGACAUUUUCCUCCAUUAAAUUCUAAGUGUUAAUUGUCUUGGGAUAGGAAUUGUUAGCACUCAGAGUGUGUAUUGUUGACAAGGGCAGGCCACCCCUUCUGAGUGGCUUACUCUUAUAACUAUUCUAGAGUUUGAGAGCAGGAAGGAAUUUCAGACAUUUACUCCUGCUUAAUCUGAUUUAAACUUCGUUUUUACUACAGACCAAUCUUAUAGUGCUCCAUCUCCAAAGAGCCAGAGCUGCUGAAGUUCAGUGCUAUUAUGCUUUCUGGUGAUUUCUAUGUUCUCCAAAACAGCUUUCUCUGGUAAUGACCUCUGUGCUCAGAUUUUCUUGUCCAUAACAUAACAUACGCUUGUUAAUCUAUGCAGCUCUGAAGCACAAUCUCAUGCACAGACCUCAAAGUUUACAUGACAAUGUUAACAUACUUUGCAAAGCUGUUGGCAACUGCCAGAUACUUUUCAUUUAUACUGAAAUCUGAGAAAAACAUAAUUAGCACCUCAUACUAAGAACUAAACAGCAUGUCAGCAAGCCAGGAAGUUGCUAAACACAACUUCCUCCAAUUAAAUUUUCCUGAAAAACCUAGAUGUAGCUAUAAAUUCAGAACAGGCUGCUGUUAGCAGCCAUGCAGCACUGUCAUGCUUAAACUCCAUACCCUAACAUUAUCACUUACUCUUCAAAUACAGCCUUUCAGAUGCUCAUAUUAUGUCAGCAAAUGUUGUUUGGAGUGAGAGGUCUUUGCUAAAAUAAACUAAACAUCACUCAGAACAAAAGCAUGCAAGCUGCUGAGAAACUUAUAAUUCUGGAGUCAGUUGUCCAUGUUACUGCUCAGUUAAAAAUGUAGUGUCAUCGUCAUUUUGUUGCUAAGUGAAAAACAGCUUUUAGAAAUAAAAUUCCCUUAAUGGAGAUAAAGUUUUUAAUUUAUUUUUUUAAGUGAACUCAUAUGUCAUCAAAUGUGGAUUCCUCACUUUCUGGAGCCUGCUGCAUGCUGUGAAGGCCACUGGAGCAUGGAUCCCUGGCUUCCCCCAUUCCUGGUGCUGUCUCAGGUCUGCUGAAUUAGGGUGGGGGGGACUGAGAAUGCAAAUUGCUUACCCCUGAUCUAAACCAGAGGAGUUUCAACCACCAGAGGCCUUAAUCCUGCCACAUGCUAUUCAGAGCUGUUUCUAGUGUAUUACAGCUUGGGCACACCCCAUCUUCUUUGGUAUUUAUCCUGAGAAAUGGAGUCUAAUCUACUAUCUGAUCUGCUUUCUUCUCUCAACCUUCAUCACCCCAUUCCCCUCUGUUUGCUUUUUCUCCCUGCAUGAGUCUCUUUCUCCUGAUACAAUUUAUUACAUUGCUCUAAUUGUAUUUAGCCGUUGGUGUCCAUAUAUUGGUCCUUUUCUCAUAGUGCCCCUUUAUGUUACAUUAUAACAGCUUUUAGGUAUUUUUUGUGUAUUCAGUUCCACAAAUAUUGUUAAUAAAUAUUUAAGGGCACACAUACAUACACUGAAAUCUGGGAGAAGCCAAAGGAACUGCUUUCUAGAAGUACACUGGACAGCUGACUAUUUUCUUUGGCUUAGUGCCUAAUGGUGCCCUCAGUUAUACCACAGUAGGAUUAUAGUGCAACUGCUUUCAGGCAUGGCAACUGCACUGGCAAUGGCUUGCACAUCUGCAGAAACUGGCAGGUGAAAUAAAUAAGAGAAAUGUCCCGAACAUGAACUUCCAUUACCAUUAAAUUCAACAAUUUCUGUGGGUAUCUAGGUACACCUGAUAGCACAGUGCAGCUCAGCAGUGAUUGCAAAGAAUUGUCUGUCGGCAGUCUGUGCAAAGGCUGAAGAAGGAUUUUUCAUUUCAUGCAUCAUUUGCAACUACCUUCAACAAUUCAGCAAAGUCAAUACGCACCUUUGAUGCAAAGUUAAGAAAAAAACUCUGAAGCAAACAGACAAAAGCAAGUAAUCCAGAGUGACAAAGCACAGUUAAAUCUUUCUCCACUUUACCCUCUUCUUGCCACAUGCUUCUUGAAAGUAUCUAUCAUUACAUACUUCUUUCUGCAUGAAGUUCACUCAUCACAGAAACACCCUGAAAUGCAUACACAUGCAACUCAUGCACAUUCACUUCACGCAGCUUCAAGGGAUUUUGUAGUGUCUGUUUCCUCAGAUGUUUCAGGGUUCAAAUUGCUCAUCCCCCUGUGGUAUAGACUAGAGGACAGUCUUGGAGUCUUUAAUCCCCAACAGUAGGAAGAAAAACUCAUCAGGAUACGUUUCAUUACCAUGAACUCUGCCCCUCUGAGAUAGCAGUCAGGACAAGGAUGGGAUAAUACAAGAGCCAGAUGUCACUGCAGAAAGGCAUAGUCCACAGUCUGAGGUAAAACUGACAUCCUAACAUUGACCAGAUCUCCAAAUUUGCAACAUAUCCCUUUUUCCUCAUGUGACAAAUUCUUGAGUUUGGAAAAAAAGGCCAGUGAGCUCAAACACAGAGAUAUGGCUAGAGAACAGCAAACGUUUCAGACUUGAAAAGGGAGAAUAAUGAAAAUGACAAGUAAUGGCAGAAACCCCACAGAAUACCUGUAGAGAAGAGGAGUAUUUGGGGCACAAAAGGUAGUGAGCUCAUCAGGUUGAUAAUCUCCAACUUUUCCUAACAGUGCCUUACUUACGAAGCAGAAGAGUUGUUCUAGGGGUUGGACAACUGGGGUAGGACGUAUGUUCCCAUGUUUCUAGAUCAUUGUGACCAAAUUUAUGUGAUAAUGCAUACGAUGUGCAAAAGGAACAGUUUCUUUCGCCCCUCCAUUACACUUGGAUGUGUCACCAGAAUGGGAAUGCCAGACAACAUGGGAAAUAAUGCAAUGAAACAGUCACAAAAGCCACCUCUGUGGACAAAAGAGUAAAUUUUCUUACUGAUCAAAACACUCCUUAAUUAUAAACAGCUUUCAUUCUCUACGCAGUUUACACACUGGUUAUAAAACAAGUUCAUAGCAGACUUCUCUAUAAAGUAGAAGACAUUCACUGCUUGGGGAAAUAAAAGGGAAAGCCUUGAUUAAUCACUCCAUGUAAAAGGCAUGCUGGACUGAGACUGCUUGAGAAAGGGCUCUUGGAGAAAAGCACGGGCAGUGUUCUGGGGGUUAAUGUGUAUUUUUUUAAAUUCAAGUUCUCUCUCAAGAGAGGUCUUCUUUUCUGAAAAGAAAUCCUUCUGCUUCUGCUCUGUCCUCCUGCUUCAGCUGAACACAAACACAUUUCAUGUCCUUUCCUGCCUAGUGGGAUGCUGAGAAGAUGUGGUCUCUGAAUUGGUAUACGUUUCAGCUGGUCCACAUUACAAGCAAAAUUUAUGACACAUGCCAAUGCCUCCACUAGCUGAUUGGAUACAGCCAGGGAAAUGGAGAAAGCCUCAACUCACUGAGCUUCAGAAAAUGAACUUCACUUAAAUGAUGUAUUGUUGUUUUGCAGCAAAAAGGAACACCUGGUUUGUACAGCGGGGAAAAAGAACAAAAACGUAACAUUCAAAAAAAAUGACCAAAAUGGGACUGGAAAAUAUGCUUAUUUUUGCCUGCACAUGAGAGAAUAAACCACAAAACAGUGUUUGCACUUAUAAUCUGGUAUAUCUGUUGCGUUUGUUUGAUGUGACUGCAUUGGUAUGUCCACUAAUUCAGCUUUUACCUACAUUAACAUCUUCUGUACUUUACAGAACAGACUUCGACUGAUGCUUCCCAUGUCACUUGGAAGAUGUGCUAGGAAAUUAUUAUUACUUUUCCUACAACACCAGAUAAUUACUUCUUCAGACAUAAAAGGCAUUUACAUUGUAUGAGUGAGGUUUUGUUUUUGCUUAUCCCAUUGUACAUCUUCAGUGCAGAUGCAGUGGAUAUGUUCUGAAAAAAAAACAAGAAUAGAACUGACUCUUACAAAAGUCUGUUUUUCUAAUGUAACCUCAAUGCAAAAUGAGUUUUCAAGCAUUAGAGUUUGGAAUGCUGGAUAUGGAACAUGCAUUGCAUUCAGCUAAAAUAAGAGAAAACCCAAAGUGGGCAGAGAGAAGCAGGGAGGUUGCAGAGAAGGAAAGAGAGUGAAUGGCUGGAGAAGACUCAGAGGUAAUCCUUUACAUAUUGAGCUACAACAAAGAAUGUUGAAUGCAAAGUUUGCAUGUGUACCUGCAAGAUAGAUAAGAUCUAUAGUUUGGUAUACAUACAUAAGUAAUGUACAUACACCAAGGGAUACAUUUUUAACAAAAGGAUAUAAAAUGCUGCAAUACACACUAAUUUGGUUUCUAAGUGAUACGGGAAAAAACCCAAAACACUGCAGUAGAUUCAACAUGAAGAUAUAGAUACCAUAGCAUUUGUCAAAGCCAGAUCAGCCCUUUUCCAUUAAAUAAACAAACACAGCUGACUGACUCUUAUUUACAUGCGGACUUUUGCACUCCACACUGCAGAGUAAAAAAUUGAGUAAUUUUAAUGCUCGAUAAGGGUGUUAAGUGAUCUUAGCACAAAUAUCAGUGAGGUUCCCAGGAGUGCAGAGGUGCCUUAUGGCUGUCCAUCAUGAGUGUGUAAAUAAACUGUGCUGGCAUCUGAGCACUGGUGUAGAGCUACUGCCAGGGAGCGUUAAUAGAGUGAGUGUCAGACAAUCCUAACUGUUUAUGAACAGCUCUCUAACUGGUCAGGCAGUAUUAAUAUAGUCACAGUAUCCUCAUCCUCAAUGAGAAAACAUGAUGCCCAUUUUGGUCUGUAUUGCUCUUGGAGAUCUCAUUUGAGCCUUUGUUCUUGGGGAGCACAAUCCAAUCUGUGGAACAUCUUUGAAAGAGUAAUUUCUUGCUGGUAAGUGCUGCUCCCAGAAGAAAUGUACUCUGAAUUGAAUAGUACUCAGCCACCCGUCCCUCCACAGAGUAGGAGAGUUGGAG